Molecule: ribosomal RNA, 253 nt
Filed under: uncultured bacterium
Lineage: Bacteria
Description: partial 16S ribosomal RNA
Rfam family: Bacterial small subunit ribosomal RNA
Source: RNAcentral
UACGAGAGGUGCGAGCGUUGUUCGGAUUUACUGGGUGUAAAGGGUGCGCAGGCGGCAUGUUAAGUCAACUGUUAAAUCUUCCGGCCUAACUGGAAGUCUGCAGUAGAAACUGGCAAGCUUGAGUGUGGAAGAGAGGAGUGGAAUUCUCGGAGUAGCGGUAAAAUGCGUAGAUCUCGAGAGGAACACCGAUGGCGAAAGCAGCUCUUUGGUCCAUUUCUGACGCUCAUGCACGAAAGCGUGGGGAGCAAACAGG